UAGCUCACUUGGUAGAGCAUGGUGUUUGCAACGCCAGGGUUGUGGGUUCGAUUCCCAC
This is a non-coding RNA of Salmo salar (Atlantic salmon), 58 nucleotides long. The record is from Rfam. NCBI's taxonomy places the organism in Eukaryota, Metazoa, Chordata, Actinopteri, Salmoniformes, Salmonidae.